UAACAAUGUUGAGAUAAUUGGAGAUUUUGUGGUAAUUUCCACAGAUCCAAUUCUUCUUCUUUCAAAUUUCUACUGUCACACCAUAAGUUUUCAGCUUUAGAAAACCAGGUAUGAUGCAAUUUCUUUCAUGAUAGCUUUGUUUAAAUCUUUAUAACUCCUUAUUUUUUUUUGUAUAUGUGUAUCAAACUAAGGAUAUAAAACUUUUGUUUACAUGUAUGUCAAACCAACAUUAUAUUCUCUGCUGCAACAUGUAUACAUUUCUGCAAAAUUAUGACGAGUGUCUCUUGCUCGUGGACUUGGGUGUUUUGAAGUUUGUGUCAUAAAAUUUGCAUAUGAGAAUUUGAUUCUCAUAAUAGUAGUAGAAACAAUAAGAACAUUGUAAGAGUGCUUAAUACAUCAUAAAGUAAUUUAUUGUAUCGAAAUAGUCAUUUAUUAAGUUCAUUUUAUUAUAUUUUUUAUGAGUCGGGAAUUUUUUAUAUUUGUAACUAUUUUUUUUAUUUAAAAAUUAAUUUAAAUAACUACUAGAAUAUCAUUAAUUAUUCCAAAGACGGUUAAAGUUGCACAAAAAAAAAGACAGAAAAAGAGAGAAAGAAAGGAAACAGCAAUAAUAAGACAUGAAAAAGAAGUAUCCACACACUCCCUUCAUUCUCAUAAAGCAAAUGGUUCUUGACAACAUGAUGAUAGACUUGAUGAAUGGUUUUUUUUUUUUUUUAAAAAAAAAAGCAACGAAAAGGAAGAAUAGCAUAAUCUGCUUCCCUUUCUUUCUUACAAAGACAAAUGCGGCACAGUGAAGCUCAAGUUGAGUAAUUUAUUUUAGACUGACUUAGAACUCAUAGGACGAAGGACUAUGAUCAGUGAUGUAUAAGUUUCCAUAGAUAAGUCCAGCUAGCCCUCCACCAAUAAGAGGCCCAACCCAGUAGAUCCAGUUGUCAUGGAAGUCACCACUAGCCACAGCUGGCCCAAAGGAUCGGGCUGGGUUCAUGGACCCACCAGAAAAUGGGCCUGCAGCCAAGAUGUUGGCACCAACAAUGAAACCGAUGGCAAUGGGGGCAAUGGUGCCGAGGGAUCCCUUCUUGGGGUCAGCAGCAGUUGCGUAGACAGUGUAAACCAAGGCAAACGUGAUGAUGAUCUCCAUGACGACUCCUUCAAUGGCUCCUACUCCAGCUGCAACACUGUGGAUGGGGACUGCCUGUGAAACCAAGUAAUUAUAGAAAGUCAAGCUUCAGGGACAAAUAAAUUCAAGUAUUUGUACAUGGAUAAUGGGGCAGAUAAAUAAAUCACAUCUCUCUUGAAAACUGCACGAGGAGUGUGAUAAUUAAGAGGUCUAGUGUAAAAAUGCAUGGAAGAUUUUGUAUAUAAUAUAAUUAGGAGGUCUCAGCAGAGUGAUUCAGUUAAUAAUAAGAUAUAACAUUAUUACCAAGCCUCCGGUGACAACUUUGAGAAGGUAGCAUGCAACGAUGGAGCCAAGGAGUUGGGCAAUCCAGUAGAAGAUGCCGGUGAGGAUGGUCAUUUGACCACCAAGAGCCAAGCCAAGAGUGACAGCAGGGUUGACAUGGCCACCGGAGAUGUUGGCACCAACAGCAACUGCAACAAAGAGCGCAAAUCCAUGGCAAACAGCAAUGGCUACUAGCCCGG
This 1635-nucleotide long non-coding RNA is filed under the name Populus trichocarpa (black cottonwood). RNAcentral's name for it is "long non-coding RNA (PTRI_LNC000888)". Lineage: Eukaryota; Viridiplantae; Streptophyta; Magnoliopsida; Malpighiales; Salicaceae. The record is from RNAcentral.